Molecule: unclassified non-coding RNA, 286 nt
Filed under: Hevea brasiliensis (rubber tree)
Lineage: Eukaryota; Viridiplantae; Streptophyta; Magnoliopsida; Malpighiales; Euphorbiaceae
Source: RNAcentral
CAACCAAGAAUAAGGUCCAUACAUUAUCCCUUCCUUAAUUAGUAACAUUUUCCACUUGGUGUAGAAGAAUAUUCAAGUACAAUUAUUGCCUUAAUAAAAAGAUGAGGACCAUGCAUAGUAUAUAGUGUCCUUGGUUGAAAGAUAAUCAAAGACACCUUGACCAAAAUAUAUGCAAAUAAAGAAGGUAUAAUGUAUGGACCUUAUUCUUGGUUGAGAAACAUCCUGAAGAAACCAUUCCAGUGAUCACCUUUUGUGUCUGUGGUGGAAUUCUGAAGCAACCUUUCCA